UACAGAGGGUGCGAGCGUUAAUCGGAGUUACUGGGCGUAAAGCGCACGUAGGCGGCUUGGUAUGUCGGGUGUGAAAUCCCCGGGCUCAACCUGGGAACUGCAUCCGAAACUGCCUUGCUCGAGUAUGGGAGAGGGAAGUGGAAUUUCCGGUGUAGCGGUGAAAUGCGUAGAUAUCGGAAGGAACAUCAGUGGCGAAGGCGACUUCCUGGACCAAUACUGACGCUCAGGUGCGAAAGCGUGGGGAGCAAACAGG
Molecule: ribosomal RNA, 253 nt
Filed under: uncultured bacterium
Lineage: Bacteria
Description: partial 16S ribosomal RNA
Rfam family: Bacterial small subunit ribosomal RNA
Source: RNAcentral